RNAcentral lists this ribosomal RNA (423 nucleotides) under uncultured bacterium. RNAcentral's name for it is "bacterial SSU rRNA". It matches the Rfam family "Bacterial small subunit ribosomal RNA", at positions 355 to 775 of the family's 1533-position model. The record is from RNAcentral.
UGAGGAAUAUUGGUCAAUGGGCGCAAGCCUGAACCAGCCAUCCCGCGUGCAGGAAGACCGCCCUAUGGGUUGUAAACUACUUUUCCAGGGGGAGAAUUUUUCUGUCGUGACAGGAAUUGACGGUACCCUGGGAAUAAGCAUCGGCUAACUCCGUGCCAGCAGCCGCGGUAAUACGGAGGAUGCGAGCGUUAUCCGGAUUUAUUGGGUUUAAAGGGUGCGUAGGCGGAUCGAUAAGUCAGUGGUGAAAACCUGCAGCUUAACUGUAGACUUGCCGUUGAUACUGUCAGUCUUGAGUGUGGUCAAGGUAGGCGGAAUGUGUAAUGUAGCGGUGAAAUGCUUAGAUAUUACACAGAACACCGAUUGCGAAGGCAGCUUACUGGGCCAUUACUGACGCUGAUGCACGAAAGCGUGGGGAUCGAACAG